This is a non-coding RNA of Schistosoma mattheei, 45 nucleotides long. Lineage: Eukaryota; Metazoa; Platyhelminthes; Trematoda; Strigeidida; Schistosomatidae. The record is from Rfam.
ACCCAGCUGACGAGUCCCGAAUAGGAGGAAAUGCGCGUUCUGGAU